AUACGGAGGAUCCGAGCGUUAUCCGGAUUUAUUGGGUUUAAAGGGUGCGCAGGCGGCCAUUUAAGUCAGCGGUUAAAUCGUGGGGCUCAACCCCAUUCUGCCGUUGAUACUGGGUGGCUUGAUUGCGGUCGAGGUUGGCGGAAUUCGUUGUGUAGCGGUGAAAUGCAUAGAUAUCACGAGGAACUCCGAUUGCGCAGGCAGCUUACUAGGCCAUAACUGACGCUCAGGCACGAAGGCGUGGGGAUCAAACAGGAUUAGAUACCCUGGUAGUCCACGCAGUAAACGAUGAUUACUCGCUGUUUGCGAUACACAGUAAGCGGCUUAGCGAAAGCGUUAAGUAAUCCACCUGGGGAGUACGUUCGCAAGAAUGAAACUCAAAGGAAUUGGCGGGG
This 392-nucleotide ribosomal RNA is filed under the name uncultured bacterium. RNAcentral describes it as "partial 16S ribosomal RNA". It matches the Rfam family "Bacterial small subunit ribosomal RNA", at positions 523 to 918 of the family's 1533-position model. The record is from RNAcentral.